GUUAUUUAAAGUUAAAAUAUUUAGCAUUUAUAAAUUAAGUUCAAAGUUAUCUUGGCAUGACUCAUUAGGAGGUGUUUGAUCACCCUCCUCCUUGCCCCUCCCGACACCAAUACCCCAUCUCCUUCUACUCUUCUAUUGGGACACUUAACAUUUUCUCUUCCUUCUGUAAAGUGUUAUACUAAUACUGUUUCAAACCCCCUUCCUCCUUCCAAUCAGAUUACCAUGCAGCCUAACUCCUUUCUGAAAAUUAAAUCAAAUAUCCUCUUGUUAAACAGAGCAUUUAUAUAUUUUUGACACAUACCACAUACUUGCUUACUAAUUGGCUAAGGGGAUGUUCAUUCACAUAAAAUCUAUGCUCACCAUUAUCUUGAGUGGAAACACUCUUCAAAAAGUAAUUAAAUUAGAAAGAUGGAAGAUGAUCAUGUGAUGCCUUUCAAACUCCCUUCCUUUCCUAGAUGACUAAGGCUGGGUAGACAGGGAUUCCUGGUAUGUUGAAGUUGGUGACUGUGUUCAAGGAGUAAAAUAGGUCCUAGACUGUCAUCCUAGUGGAAGAUAUAGGACUACCAUAGAUAAUGUACCUGGAUCAAAGAAUAUCCCUGAAAUAGGAAUUCUGGAGCUACCUAUAUGUCCCAAGCAGUUGAUUUAUGCUUUUUAUCUCUUUCAGUGUCCUUGUUCUGAUCGGCUCAUUGUAACUGUUGUUCAUCCAAAGUGAUCAAUUUGGUCACUUGAGGUCAUCACGGUACCUGGAAUGGUUAAUCUUGGUAGGCAGAGUGUCUUUGAAUGUCUUCUACACCCAGACCUGGGUACAAGGAUCCAAAAGUUUCUAUGGCAAGAUAGAAGCAGAGGUUGGGGUGGAGGGAAUGUUGCUUCCUUUAAAGAUCUGGGGUUCUGUGAUGCCAGAAACACCCCUCUGGUUUUAUGGAUUCUGCCUUUUAAAGAGACGGCAUCUAAGUUCCCACCACGAGCUAGCUCCUCUCUUCAAACUGAGGUGCCAAUCAGGAUGUGCAAUCGUACCCAUGAUCAGAGGUCUCUGAGAUACUGUACUUUCCAAAAAACUAUACUCUCCUGCCUCUAAAUAUAUGUCGGAGGGAGCACAUCGAAUGAGAACUCUGGAGUUGGCCAUCCUGCAUGAUAGUCUACACCUUCACCCAUAGAUUUAAUUUGCCUUGGAUGAAUGACAACAGGAAGAAAGAAGUGAGACCUACUCCGUGACAGGAUAAGGUCAUAUCAGCACGAGAAAAUUUAGGUCUAAAUGAGACAUAAAGUUUAUUUAUUUUACUCUUUUGGCUAGACAUUAUAUUUAUAAAAAAGUUCAUAAAUACAUGUUUAGGAUUUAUGUAUCAGAAUGCCUGCACAUAAUCAGUUGAGCUAAUGUAUACUAUUUUUGAUGGUUUAUUAGCACUUAUAUUUUAAUCAUACAUGUAUAUUUUCUUGUCUAUUUAAAUUUCAUCCAUUCAUUGAUUUCUUACUCUACUUCUUGGUCCUCUGCACUAGUUUUUACAUUGGUGAAGUUUACUUUGUUUUGUUUAGUAACAUAACAACUGAGAAAAUGGCUUUUGAGAAAGAAAGUCUAAAUUCCAACCCUGUCUCCACUACUUAUUAACUCUGUGAUCUGAGAUAAAUUAUUUAAUAUCUCUGAAUCUGAGUUCUUACCUCUUUAGAAUACCUAUAAUAAUAAAACUCAUGCUUCUCAGAGCCAUUGUGAAUAUUAAAUUGUGUAGUGCAUACAACUAUGCUUAGUACACAGUGACUGGUCGAUACAUUAGCUUUCACUAGAAAUACUGAUAUUUAUGUAAUUGUUUAUUAUCAUUAUUGCCAUUUUACAGUAAUAGUAUUCUUGUUAGGAAUUUAUUGAGAAAAGUUUCAUUCAUAUACUCAUGCCACAAACAUUUCUUGAGUGUCAUACAGUAAUGCCAGGCAUGAAUUUAGAUAUUUUUCUAGACAGUUUAAUGAAAUAAACAAAAAGAUGUCCAACACUUGUCCAAGAUGGUACUUGUCAUAAGUGCCAAAUGAAAAUAAAACAUGAUAUGAUAGAGUGCCCAUGGAACUUCUCAAUGUUGCAUAGUCUUAAAGUCUUCUUUAAUGCCGAUGUUUAAUCUGGACUUAGCAUCACAAACCAGCUACAUAAAGAUAUGGAUAUUGUGCACCACAGGCAAGGCUAGGAGGCAAUGAGAAAGGUCCUUGCCCUGGAUUUAUAAUGAUAACGAUAACAGUAAAAAAUAAUAGUAAUAAUUACAGUUAGCAUGUAUUGAACAAUUACUCUGUGACUGUUACCUUGAACUCAUUUAAUCCUCACAACAAAUCCUAUAAUAUCAGAACUAUAAUUUUAUAGAUAAAGAAA
Non-coding RNA from Microcebus murinus (gray mouse lemur), 2341 nucleotides. The record is from RefSeq and is a predicted model, not a curated record. Lineage: Eukaryota; Metazoa; Chordata; Mammalia; Primates; Cheirogaleidae.